Long non-coding RNA from Drosophila busckii, 515 nucleotides. RefSeq lists it as uncharacterized. NCBI's taxonomy places the organism in Eukaryota, Metazoa, Arthropoda, Insecta, Diptera, Drosophilidae. The record is from RefSeq and is a predicted model, not a curated record. The transcript is spliced from 3 exons.
UUGUAAAAAGCACACGGCCAGACUAGUAAUAAGCAUAAAGUCAAAAUUUUUAUACUUUCUAUACAGCUUAUAAUAAUAUACUAUUAAGAAUGGAAAACAAUUUUAGAUGGCGAAGCAAUUAUUUUGACUGGAUUUUCAUCAAUAUCUUCACAGUUUUUCACAGCACUGUCGUGACAAUUUGGGAAAAACUAAGGAACUAAGACUGGAUUUUCAGCUUUUCAGCUUUUCAACAUUUCCAGAAUUAUGGAUGGGAAUAAAGGAAACGAAUCUAUACACUAAAAAAAAAAUGUAUACACUAUAUACUGUAUCUUGCUCUCUCAAGAUGCGUUCGGCGGCUUGCUUGAUAUAUUUAUUUGUAUUUUUGAGGCUGUUGCACGCAAAGAAUCCAAUUGGAAGUGGUUGAGGACUAUUCAAUUCAAAGCAAUUCAAUUUAUAUAUUUUUUAACUAUUGUAUAACGUGAAAAAAAUGUAAAAAACUUAAAAAAAUGCGUUAUAUAAAAGCCACACUGUGGCGG